GUGGUCGUAGCUCAAAGGUAGAGCCACGCGCUGUGAACGGCGACGACGCCGGGUCAGUACCGGCCGACCACCCCA
This 75-nucleotide transfer RNA is filed under the name Mycobacterium sp. AZCC_0083. RNAcentral's name for it is "tRNA-His". It matches the Rfam family "tRNA". Rfam says of the family: Transfer RNA (tRNA) molecules are approximately 80 nucleotides in length. Their secondary structure includes four short double-helical elements and three loops (D, anti-codon, and T loops). Further hydrogen bonds mediate the characteristic L-shaped molecular structure. tRNAs have two regions of fundamental functional importance: the anti-codon, which is responsible for specific mRNA codon recognition, and the 3' end, to which the tRNAs corresponding amino acid is attached (by aminoacyl-tRNA synthetases). tRNAs cope with the degeneracy of the genetic code in two manners: having more than one tRNA (with a specific anti-codon) for a particular amino acid; and 'wobble' base-pairing, i.e. permitting non-standard base-pairing at the 3rd anti-codon position. Lineage: Bacteria; Bacillati; Actinomycetota; Actinomycetes; Mycobacteriales; Mycobacteriaceae. The record is from RNAcentral.